GACGAACGCUGGCGGCGUGCCUAAUACAUGCAAGUCGAACGAACCGCGACUGAGUGCUUGCACUUGGUCAAGGUGAGUGGCGAACGGGUGAGUAACACGUGGGUAACCUACCUCAUAGUGGGGGAUAACAGUCGGAAACGACUGCUAAUACCGCAUAGGACAUAGGAUCACAUGAUCCAGUGAGGAAAGGUGGCGCAAGCUAUCGCUAAGAGAUGGACCCGCGGUGCAUUAGCUAGUUGGUAGGGUAAAGGCCUACCAAGGCGAUGAUGCAUAGCCGACCUGAGAGGGUGAUCGGCCACAUUGGGACUGAGACACGGCCCAAACUCCUACGGGAGGCAGCAGUAGGGAAUCUUCCGCAAUGGACGCAAGUCUAACGGAGCAACGCCGCGUGAGUGAAGAAGGUCUUCGGAUCGUAAAGCUCUGUUGUUAGAGAAGAACAGCGCAUAGAGUAACUGCUAUGCGUGUGACGGUAUCUAACCAGAAAGCCACGGCUAACUACGUG
Molecule: ribosomal RNA, 502 nt
Filed under: uncultured bacterium
Lineage: Bacteria
Description: partial 16S ribosomal RNA
Rfam family: Bacterial small subunit ribosomal RNA
Source: RNAcentral